GUGCUUGUGUGGGCAGCACAUAUACUAAAAUUGGAACAAUGCAGAGAUUAGCAUGGCCCCUGAACAAGGACAACAUGCAAAUUCGUGAAGUGUUCCACCUUAAA
Molossus molossus (Pallas's mastiff bat) is the source of this 104-nucleotide small nuclear RNA. NCBI's taxonomy places the organism in Eukaryota, Metazoa, Chordata, Mammalia, Chiroptera, Molossidae. The record is from RefSeq and is a predicted model, not a curated record.